UGGGAACGUACCCUUUGGUUCGGAACAACCCAGGGAAACUUGGGCUAAUACCGGAUACGUCCGUAAGGAGAAAGAUUUAUCGCCAAGGGAUCGGCCCGCGUCUGAUUAGCUAGUUGGUGGGGUAACGGCCCACCAAGGCGACGACGGGUAGCUGGUCUGAGAGGGUGACCGGCCACACUGGGACUGAGACACGGUCCAGACUCCUACGGGAGGCAG
RNAcentral lists this ribosomal RNA (216 nucleotides) under uncultured bacterium. RNAcentral's name for it is "partial 16S ribosomal RNA". It matches the Rfam family "Bacterial small subunit ribosomal RNA", at positions 118 to 351 of the family's 1533-position model. The record is from RNAcentral.